This 178-nucleotide unclassified non-coding RNA is filed under the name uncultured fungus. RNAcentral's name for it is "sequence contains ITS1, 5.8S rRNA gene". Lineage: Eukaryota; Fungi. The record is from RNAcentral.
CUGUGUCAGCGCCGGGGGCAUCUCCCUCGGUUCGCACACCCCUCUGUGUAUCUCUCUGGUUGCUUCGGCGAGUCGCAGACCUGUCUGUCGUCACCCCUUGGGUGAUGUGUAUUCGCCGAUAGACUCCCAAACUCUGGUUUUUGCAGUAACGUCUGAGCCAAUACUUGAAAAUUAAAUA